This 86-nucleotide transfer RNA is filed under the name Candidatus Omnitrophica bacterium CG12_big_fil_rev_8_21_14_0_65_42_8. Its description in RNAcentral is "tRNA-Tyr". It matches the Rfam family "tRNA". Rfam says of the family: Transfer RNA (tRNA) molecules are approximately 80 nucleotides in length. Their secondary structure includes four short double-helical elements and three loops (D, anti-codon, and T loops). The record is from RNAcentral. Lineage: Bacteria; Pseudomonadati; Candidatus Omnitrophota.
GGGCAGAUACCCGAGUGGCCAAAGGGGUCAGACUGUAAAUCUGAUGGCUCACGCCUACGAAGGUUCGAAUCCUUCUCUGCCCACCG